GAUGAACGCUGGCGGCGUGCCUAACACAUGCAAGUCGAGCGGAAGCGCGGGGCGCUUGCACCACGUCGGUGAGCGGCGGACGACUGAGUAGCGCGUGGGAACGUCCCCCAAAGUGAGGAAUACCUGCAAGAAAGGGCAGCUAAUACCGAAUAUUCUCUUUGGAUCAAAGGGUUUUUCAGGUUUGGGAGGGGCUCGUGACGGAUCUGGCAGUUGGCGUGGUAGUGGCGUACCAAGCCGACGAUCCGGAGACGGUCUGUGAGGAUGACCAGCGAGACUGGAACUGAGACACGACCCAUACGGCUACGAGAGGCAGCGGUGAGGAAUCUACCACAGUGAGCGAGAGCCAGAGGGGGCGACGCCGCGAGCAGGGCGAUGGCCUUGGAGUUGUAUUCUGCUAUGAUAGGUGAUGAUUGUGACGGUAACUUAUGAAUAAGGACCGGCUAACUACGUG
This 451-nucleotide ribosomal RNA is filed under the name uncultured bacterium. RNAcentral's name for it is "partial 16S ribosomal RNA". It matches the Rfam family "Bacterial small subunit ribosomal RNA", at positions 28 to 507 of the family's 1533-position model. The record is from RNAcentral.